This 76-nucleotide non-coding RNA is filed under the name unclassified sequences. The record is from Rfam.
AUAAUGAUACUCCUGCCGAGUCCCAGACAUCGCAAGGACGGCAGCCCGCGUGAAGGGGGAGGUGAAAUUCCUGUGA